Mauremys mutica (yellowpond turtle) is the source of this 210-nucleotide long non-coding RNA. RefSeq lists it as uncharacterized. Lineage: Eukaryota; Metazoa; Chordata; Testudines; Geoemydidae. The record is from RefSeq and is a predicted model, not a curated record. The transcript is spliced from 3 exons.
CGGCUGUUGAUCCCAUGCCGUGAGGACGGGAGACUCCAGUUUUUCAACGUCCUUCAUGAAGUGCGGAUACCAGAUGUGGAUACAGUAUUUCAGUAGCAGUUGCACCAAUGCUGAAUACAGAGUGCUCAAUAUCUGUGUUGAGAAAGUGGUAUCAUCAAAGGGGUUGCGAAUCCAGUCAUUAUCGCCUGACAUAGCUGGAAAUAUUCCCUG